RNAcentral lists this unclassified non-coding RNA (1460 nucleotides) under Bombus terrestris (buff-tailed bumblebee). RNAcentral's name for it is "misc RNA ENSBTSG00005026462.1". The record is from RNAcentral. Lineage: Eukaryota; Metazoa; Arthropoda; Insecta; Hymenoptera; Apidae.
CUGCCUCUUCCUUAUAUAAGUUGAGAUCUUUUUGUUUUGACUUUAAUGAUGAAUGUUUUUUUGUCUUCUUUUCAGCAGAUUUCUCAUAAAUUACAUCAUCUGAAUCACUAGAAACUGAAUUUCUGGUUUUACUCUUUUCUUUUCUUACAUUAUUAGAAUCAACUUUCUUAUUUCUCACAAUCUUUUUGUGCCCAUCAUUUUUUAAAUGGUCCUUGCCUUUCUUUUGUUUAUGAUGAGCAGCUUCACUCUCCUCCUCAGAAGAUUCUCUUCUAGACCUUUUUGCUUGUUUUGGUCUGUUAAUGCCAUCUUCAUCAGAUGACCUUUCAGUGAAUUUCCAAAUUUAUAAAAGAAAGGUCGUACAUCUUCAGGAGUACUGGAAUCAUUGUCACAUAAUGACCUUAUUGAUUUUUUCACUUCUUCCACCCUUGCAAGCCGUUCUUUCAUAUAUACUCUAUUUUUAGUAUCUCUUCUGAAAUCAAAUAUGUGCUUUUAAAUUAUUAUAUUAUUAUCACAUUCUGAAUAUGUUACACAAAAAUAAAAAUUAUAUUAAUUAUACUACAUAAUUAAUUUCACACAAUUCCCUACUAAAACUAUGCAGAAUUAAUAUAUAACAGUUUAUUUUUUUCUUUGUAUAUACUUACUUGAAUAAAGAAGACAUAGUGAAUGACAAAAUAGUUCUCUAUUUUCAAAAAGACCUUCAUUUAAGUAUAAAACAUUUUUAUUUUCAAUUUCAGAACCCAAAAUGUCAGAUUAAACUUGUUAUAUAUGUUUCUGGAAACAUAAAUUUCUAUUUUAACACUCGUGGAUUAAAAGAAUUUUUAUUAAUGUCAUAUCACCUACACUAUUAUGUCAUAUUAUCUUGUCUAUUCUGGUUUUAUUAACCAUUCAGAUUACUUUAACAAAUUCACAAUCCCCUGCCCCAUGUAUGGGUCAGUGUAUUCUCAACUCACAAGUCUGUUGACCCAUCCAUGGGUUAGGAAUGUUUAACGUUAUAAGUCAUAUAACUCUUGAUAUAGGAAUACCUUGUGUUUGAAUUUCUGUGUAGAUAAUUAAAUUGUAAAUAUUUUACAUGCAAGGAAUAAUUCAAAUGAAUAUUCUAACAAAAAUUAUUGGAGAAACAAGAAUUAUUGUAACUAAUUAAUUGUUUUGAAGCAGUUAAUACAAAAUGCAUGCAUAUGGCUUUCUUAGAUAUAUGGAAAGGAUGUAUAUCUUUUAGCAUGGCCUGUGAAUGUGUUAAUCUUUAAACAUUUAGAGACAUUAUCUAGUUGCAUAUUAUAGCAAUAAUAAACAAAGAAAAUAAAGUACUUACAACAUGUACUUUUUAUUUGGUCCUUCUCAAAAUUGUAACUGUAAAAAUAGUCAUAGAAUUGAAAUAAUAGAAAAAUAUUAAAAAUGCACAUUACAAUUUUCUCUCUAUGUAUUUCAUAACUUCUAUUCUAACUUCUAACCAGUAUUACUCU